RNAcentral lists this ribosomal RNA (189 nucleotides) under Chloroflexota bacterium. Its description in RNAcentral is "Chloroflexi bacterium partial 16S ribosomal RNA". It matches the Rfam family "Bacterial small subunit ribosomal RNA", at positions 1 to 183 of the family's 1533-position model. The record is from RNAcentral. Lineage: Bacteria; Bacillati; Chloroflexota.
GACGGAGAGUUUGAUCCUGGCUCAGGGUUAACGCUGGCGGCGCGCAUAACACAUGCAAGUCGAGCGAGGGCUUAUCUCCCGCAAGGGAGGUGAGUUCCUAGCGGCGAACGGGUGAGUAACACGUGGGCAACCUUUCCUAUCGCGGGGGAUAACACCGGGAAACCGAUGCUAAUACCGCAUGUCGUCACC